ACUCCUACGGGAGGCAGCAGUGGGGAAUAUUGCACAAUGGGCGCAAGCCUGAUGCAGCCAUGCCGCGUGUAUGAAGAAGGCCUUCGGGUUGUAAAGCACUUUCAGUUGUGAGGAAGGUGGUGUCGUUAAUAGCGGCAUCAUUUGACGUUAGCAACAGAAGAAGCACCGGCUAACUCCGUGCCAGCAGCCGCGGUAAUACGGAGGGUGCGAGCGUUAAUCGGAAUUACUGGGCGUAAAGCGCAUGCAGGUGGUUUGUUAAGUCAGAUGUGAAAGCCCGGGGCUCAACCUCGGAACUGCAUUUGAAACUGGCAGACUAGAGUACUGUAGAGGGGGGUAGAAUUUCAGGUGUAGCGGUGAAAUGCGUAGAGAUCUGAAGGAAUACCGGUGGCGAAGGCGGCCCCCUGGACAGAUACUGACACUCAGAUGCGAAAGCGUGGGGAGCAAACAGGAUUAGAUACCCU
This 461-nucleotide ribosomal RNA is filed under the name uncultured bacterium. Its description in RNAcentral is "bacterial SSU rRNA". It matches the Rfam family "Bacterial small subunit ribosomal RNA", at positions 335 to 788 of the family's 1533-position model. The record is from RNAcentral.